GGAAAUGUGGCUCAGGGAUAGAGCAUUUACUUGUCAUGUGCAAGGUUCUAGGUUCAAUCCCUAGCAUCA
Molecule: transfer RNA, 69 nt
Filed under: Heterocephalus glaber (naked mole-rat)
Lineage: Eukaryota; Metazoa; Chordata; Mammalia; Rodentia; Bathyergidae
Rfam family: tRNA
About the family: Transfer RNA (tRNA) molecules are approximately 80 nucleotides in length. Their secondary structure includes four short double-helical elements and three loops (D, anti-codon, and T loops).
Source: Rfam by way of RNAcentral